This 532-nucleotide ribosomal RNA is filed under the name Neogloboquadrina pachyderma. Its description in RNAcentral is "bacterial SSU rRNA". It matches the Rfam family "Eukaryotic small subunit ribosomal RNA", at positions 1164 to 1470 of the family's 1831-position model. Lineage: Eukaryota; Foraminifera; Rotaliida; Globorotaliidae. The record is from RNAcentral.
GCACCACAAGAACGCGUGGAGCAUGUGGCUUAAUUUGACUCAACGCGGGAAAUCUUACCGGGUCCGGACACACUGAGGAUUGACAGGCAAUAUCUCAUGGUUAUUAAUUCGGUUAUUUAUUUAAGCGGUUAAUUAAGCAUCGAGUGUUAAAUAGCUAGUCCUUUCAUGAUUAUGUGAUAGGUGGUGCAUGACCGCUCUUAGUUCGUGGAGUGAUCUGUCUGCUUAAUUGCGUUUCACUAAGGGCCCAUAAAUUCAAGGUAUGUUAGCUAUCGUCGCUCUAUGGACCCCUUAUUCACUGCUUUAAUUAGUUUGUUUAAGCGCGCGUCUUUAUUUAAUGAGUUUAAGACACUGCGCAUGCUGUUGGGCUCUGAAAGCAACGAACGUGACCGCAACGUCUUGUUGCCUUAAUAAAGUUGGCUUUAAAUACGAAAUUCGUAUUUAAACCGCUUACAGAGGCUAUUUAAAACUAGACGGACCGCUGUUUCUUUUCUUAAACCAGAGGAAGGUUGCGGCAAUAACAGGUCUGUGAUGC